Molecule: ribosomal RNA, 567 nt
Filed under: uncultured Actinomycetes bacterium
Lineage: Bacteria; Bacillati; Actinomycetota; Actinomycetes
Description: bacterial SSU rRNA
Rfam family: Bacterial small subunit ribosomal RNA
Source: RNAcentral
CCUACGGGAGGCAGCAGUGGGGAAUAUUGGGCAAUGGGCGCGAGCCUGACCCAGCGACGCCGCGUGAGGGAUGAAGGCCUUCGGGUUGUAAACCUCUUUCAGUAGGGAAGAAGCGAAAGUGACGGUACCUAAAGAAGAAGCACCGGCUAACUAUGUGCCAGCAGCCGCGGUAAUACAUAGGGUGCAAGCGUUGUCCGGAAUUAUUGGGCGUAAAGAGCUCGUAGGUCGUUUGCCGCGUCGAUUGUGAAAAUCUGAGGCUCAACCUCAGACCUGCAGUCGAUACGGGCAAACUAGAGUGUGGUAGGGGAGACUGGAAUUCCUGGUGUAGCGGUGGAAUGCGCAGAUAUCAGGAGGAACACCAAUGGCGAAGGCAGGUCUCUGGGCCAUAACUGACACUGAGGAGCGAAAGUGCGGGGAGCGAACAGGAUUAGAUACCCUGGUAGUCCGCACCGUAAACGGUGGGCACUAGUUGUGGGAACCUUCCACGGUUUCCGCGACGCAGCAAACGCAUUAAGUGCCCCGCCUGGGGAGUACGAUCGCAAGAUUAAAACUCAAAGGAAUUGACGG